Molecule: long non-coding RNA, 701 nt
Organism: Gorilla gorilla gorilla (western lowland gorilla)
Lineage: Eukaryota; Metazoa; Chordata; Mammalia; Primates; Hominidae
Exons: 4
Source: RefSeq, a predicted model, not a curated record
ACCUCCCAACAUCAUCCUGAAGGCAGCCCACACAGUCACAGGACAGAGGGUGAAGCUCUCCCUUUCAAUGGUUCAUGAACAAGAAGGGGAGAAAAGUAGACUCUUUAGGUUGGUGAUAUAAACAAACCUUAAGAGCUUACUGGGGCUUCUGCAAGACAGAAAGAUCAUAAUUCAGAAGCAAAAUCAAGAAAGCAAGAUUAUUCCACAAUCCUACCCUAUUUCUAUAACUAUCCCAGAAAGAAUAGUGAUGAGGGAGAAGAUUUUCCCAGGCAAGGCUUCAUGCCCUUCCUCACUCUCCCCUUCCUUGGGACCCCCAACUGCACAUCCACGCCAGGUACCAAUCCUGCUUUAAGCUAUUCUCAGAAGAGGACGUUUUAAAUAUAGCAUUUUAUAGAUCCAGAAAGAUGGUCCUAUAAUGGUGGGAUUUCACCCUUGAGAAGCCAUAAAGUUAUUUUGGGGCAACCUUGCCUGCUCCGUACCCAAUGCACAGCCCAUCAAUAAAUCACUUGCUGACCGUCCUGCUGCAGAGUUACAAGGUUGGAAGACAAGAAUUGUUUGCUUCAUUGAGUCUUGCCUUCCUGAAAAGAAAAUAUCCCAAACCGACAGCAACAAAAUAUUCAAGGAAAAUUUAUGAUGCAUAUAACUUAUUCAAGCACUACCAAGAGGUUAAAGAUAAACUAUUCUGUCCCCAGGUGUGGAAA